This 474-nucleotide ribosomal RNA is filed under the name uncultured bacterium. RNAcentral describes it as "partial 16S ribosomal RNA". It matches the Rfam family "Bacterial small subunit ribosomal RNA", at positions 28 to 507 of the family's 1533-position model. The record is from RNAcentral.
GACGAACGCUGGCGGCGUGCUUAACACAUGCAAGUCGAGCGGUAAGGCUCCUUCGGGAGUCCACGAGCGGCGAACGGGUGAGUAACACGUGAGUAAUCUGCCCUUCACUUCGGGAUAACCACCGGAAACGGUGGCUAAUACCGAAUACGACCAGUCUUCGCAUGAGGUGCUGGUGGAAAGUCUUUUCGGUGAAGGAUGUGCUCGCGGCCUAUCAGCUUGUUGGUGGGGUAAUGGCCUACCAAGGCUUCGACGGGUAGCCGGCCUGAGAGGGUGACCGGCCACACUGGGACUGAGACACGGCCCAGACUCCUACGGGAGGCAGCAGUGGGGAAUAUUGGACAAUGGGCGAAAGCCUGAUCCAGCAACGCCGCGUGAGGGAUGACGGCCUUCGGGUUGUAAACCUCGUUCAGUACCGACGAAGCGCCCUGUCGGGUGGUGACGGUAGGUACAGAAGAAGGACCGGCCAACUACGUG